Molecule: long non-coding RNA, 398 nt
Filed under: Homo sapiens (human)
Lineage: Eukaryota; Metazoa; Chordata; Mammalia; Primates; Hominidae
Description: non-protein coding lnc-RAD9A-6:5
Source: RNAcentral
GCUUGACUCAGCUAAGCGCGAAGGUGUUGUUUCUUCCUGAGGUGCGCUGGGGCUGGGACCCGGUCUGCAGAAGGUCCAGGGGAUGGCGUCGGGGGAUUGAGGAGAGGAGACCAAGCCGGCCUUGCCUCCGGGACCAGCGCUUCCAAAUUCUCUGGGGCGUCCCGGCGCGCACACGCUCCUGAGGCCUCGGCGUUCUGAGGAAAGGGGCUGGCGUGGCGACCCGGGUCCUCGAGGCCGAGAUCUGGCUGUGGCCCGCGAAGCCCCGCUUGCCCGCGCCAGCGUCUUGUCACCCCGAGCCGAGGGCCUGCGCGCGGCCGACAGAUAUGGGAUGCUGGAGGACAUCUGGGGGCCACAAAUGCUCCUUCUCCUGGAGACGCAACUCAAGGUGAGCCUUUACA